GGCGUAAAGCGCGCGCAGGCGGUCCUUUAAGUCUGAUGUGAAAGCCCACGGCUCAACCGUGGAGGGUCAUUGGAAACUGGGGGACUUGAGUGCAGAAGAGGAAAGUGGAAUUCCAAGUGUAGCGGUGAAAUGCGUAGAGAUUUGGAGGAACACCAGUGGCGAAGGCGACUUUCUGGUCUGUAACUGACGCUGAGGCGCGAAAGCGUGGGGAGCAAACAGGAUUAGAUACCCUGGUAGUCCACGCCGUAAACGAUGAGUGCUAAGUGUUAGGGGGUUUCCGCCCCUUAUUGCUGCAGCUAACGCAUUAAGCACUCCGCCUGGGGAGUACGGUCGCAAGACUGAAACUCAAAGGAAUUGACGGGGGCCCGCACACGCGGUGGAGCAUGUGGUUUAAUUCGA
RNAcentral lists this ribosomal RNA (399 nucleotides) under Lysinibacillus fusiformis. Its description in RNAcentral is "bacterial SSU rRNA". It matches the Rfam family "Bacterial small subunit ribosomal RNA", at positions 557 to 954 of the family's 1533-position model. Lineage: Bacteria; Bacillati; Bacillota; Bacilli; Caryophanales; Bacillaceae. The record is from RNAcentral.